GCACAGGUGCGAAGGCUGUCUGCUUGUGAGACAAUGGGUUCUGCAACAACAAUUUGUAGUGAUAAGACUGGAACACUAACUUUAAAUCAGAUGACUGUGGUUGAGGCAUAUGUUGGCAAAAAGAAGAUGACUCCACCGUAUGACCCUGCAUAGUUGCCAUCGGUUACUUCUGCACUACUGAUUGAGGGUAUAGCACAGAAUACAACGGGAAAUGUUUUUGUGCCAAAGGGUGGUGGAGAUGCAGAGAUCACUGGAUCUCCUAUAGAAAAUGCUAUCCUUUCUUGGGCAUUGAAG
This is a long non-coding RNA of Humulus lupulus (European hop), 294 nucleotides long. RefSeq lists it as uncharacterized. The record is from RefSeq and is a predicted model, not a curated record. Lineage: Eukaryota; Viridiplantae; Streptophyta; Magnoliopsida; Rosales; Cannabaceae. The transcript has 3 exons.